RNAcentral lists this ribosomal RNA (847 nucleotides) under uncultured bacterium. RNAcentral's name for it is "bacterial SSU rRNA". It matches the Rfam family "Bacterial small subunit ribosomal RNA", at positions 8 to 853 of the family's 1533-position model. The record is from RNAcentral.
AGAGUUUGAUCAUGGCUCAGAUUGAACGCUGGCGGCAGGCUUAACACAUGCAAGUCGAACGAUGACUAACUAGCUUGCUAGUUAUGAUUAGUGGCGGACGGGUGAGUAACAUUUAGGAAUCUGCCUAGUAGUGGGGGAUAGCUCGGGGAAACUCGAAUUAAUACCGCAUACGACCUACGGGUGAAAGGGGGCGCAAGCUCUUGCUAUUAGAUGAGCCUAAAUCAGAUUAGCUAGUUGGUGGGGUAAAGGCCCACCAAGGCGACGAUCUGUAACUGGUCUGAGAGGAUGAUCAGUCACACCGGAACUGAGACACGGUCCGGACUCCUACGGGAGGCAGCAGUGGGGAAUAUUGGACAAUGGGGGCAACCCUGAUCCAGCCAUGCCGCGUGUGUGAAGAAGGCCUUUUGGUUGUAAAGCACUUUAAGCAGGGAGGAGAGGCUAAUGGUUAAUACCCAUUAGAUUAGACGUUACCUGCAGAAUAAGCACCGGCUAACUCUGUGCCAGCAGCCGCGGUAAUACAGAGGGUGCGAGCGUUAAUCGGAAUUACUGGGCGUAAAGCGAGUGUAGGUGGCUCAUUAAGUCACAUGUGAAAUCCCCGGGCUUAACCUGGGAACUGCAUGUGAUACUGGUGGUGCUAGAAUAUGUGAGAGGGAAGUAGAAUUCCAGGUGUAGCGGUGAAAUGCGUAGAGAUCUGGAGGAAUACCGAUGGCGAAGGCAGCUUCCUGGCAUAAUAUUGACACUGAGAUUCGAAAGCGUGGGUAGCAAACAGGAUUAGAUACCCUGGUAGUCCACGCCGUAAACGAUGUCUACUAGCCGUUGGGGUCCUUGAGACUUUAGUGGCGCAGUU